RNAcentral lists this ribosomal RNA (253 nucleotides) under uncultured bacterium. Its description in RNAcentral is "partial 16S ribosomal RNA". It matches the Rfam family "Bacterial small subunit ribosomal RNA", at positions 524 to 776 of the family's 1533-position model. The record is from RNAcentral.
CACGUAGGAGGCGAGCGUUGUCCGGAAUCAUUGGGCGUAAAGAGCGCGCAGGCGGCUUGGCAAGUCGGGUGUGAAAUCCCGGGGCUCAACCCCGGGACUGCAUUCGAUACUGUCAGGCUAGAGGUAGGUAGGGGAGAUCGGAAUUCCUGGUGUAGCGGUGAAAUGCGUAGAGAUCGGCAGGAACACCCAGGGGGAAACCAGUCGACUGGGCAUCUACUGACGCUGAGGUGCGAGAGCGUGGGGAGCGAACCGG